Molecule: ribosomal RNA, 253 nt
Filed under: uncultured bacterium
Lineage: Bacteria
Description: partial 16S ribosomal RNA
Rfam family: Bacterial small subunit ribosomal RNA
Source: RNAcentral
UACGUAGGGUGCAAGCGUUGUCCGGAAUUAUUGGGCGUAAAGAGUUCGUAGGCGGUUUGUCACGUCGGGAGUGAAAACUCAGGGCUUAACCCUGAGCCUGCUUCCGAUACGGGCAGACUAGAGGUAUGCAGGGGAGAAUGGAAUUCCUGGUGUAGCGGUGAAAUGCGCAGAUAUCAGGAGGAACACCAAUGGCGAAGGCAGCUCGCUGGAACGGUACUGACGCUGAGGCGCGAAAGCGUGGGGAGCAAACAGG